This is a long non-coding RNA of Stegostoma tigrinum, 688 nucleotides long. RefSeq lists it as uncharacterized. NCBI's taxonomy places the organism in Eukaryota, Metazoa, Chordata, Chondrichthyes, Orectolobiformes, Stegostomatidae. The transcript is spliced from 3 exons. The record is from RefSeq and is a predicted model, not a curated record.
CGGCCCAAGAUUCACCGUCCAUUCCCAAUAGGUUUUGGUGCGAAGGCAUCGAAAGCUCACGAAAAGACACGAUGUAAAUGUAGGAUAUGUGCCUCCCUAGGUUACUGAGCGUACAGGCAUGAAUAAAGAGGAGAUCCUAUGUCAUUUCUUUCAGCUUGGAACACGAGAAUUGGAUUUACCCACUCCCUUUGCAAGUUGUUUUCUAGCUUCAUGCACUAUCCAUCACACUUGUACCAGAAACGCGAGAACAAAAGCAGACCAAGUCGAUGGGUUCCAAACUUAAAAAAGACUGUUCAACAUUUUGAUGCUGGUCAGGAGCCAGUCUGUUACUUGUUUGAACUUAGCACAGCUGAAAACCUGCUGGACUGUACAGAAAACACCCAAAAAUCUGUGUCUCGUGCUCUUGCGUGGAGGUACCAAAAAUCUCCACUAACAGCUGGCUUUCUUCCAAUUGCUUCUCUUUGCAAAUCCCCGAUUAGAGGAGGAAUAAAACACCCUUAAGACAGUGAAAGGCUGAACUCUCAACCAGUGAAUGAGAGAGAGAGAAAAAUCAGUAUGCAAACAAUCUUUUGUCAACAGCUGAAUUGAAAGGAAGAGAAAAAAUGCCACUCAUUGAAAACAGUAGUCCAGAUUAAUGCUAUUGAACGGUGUUUUCCUGAUCAUUUGAACUGUUAACCCUGUUUUUUAU